This 465-nucleotide ribosomal RNA is filed under the name uncultured bacterium. RNAcentral's name for it is "partial 16S ribosomal RNA". It matches the Rfam family "Bacterial small subunit ribosomal RNA", at positions 338 to 795 of the family's 1533-position model. The record is from RNAcentral.
CCUACGGGCGGCAGCAGUGGGGAAUAUUGCACAAUGGGGGCAGCCCUGAUGCAGCGACGCCGCGUGCGGGAUGACGGUCUUCGGAUCGUAAACCUCUGUCAGCAGGGAAGAACGGUCACUGUGCUAAUCAGCAGUGAAUUGACGGUACCUGCAAAGGAAGCACCGGCUAACUCCGUGCCAGCAGCCGCGGUCAUACGGAGGGUGCGAGCGUUAAUCGGAUUUACUGGGCGUAAGGCGAUCGUAGGUGGUAUGACAAGUCAAAGGUGAAAUCCCGGGGCUCAACGUGGGAACUGCCUGUGAAACUGGCGGACUGGAGUGUGGGAGAGGAUGGCGGAAUUCCAGGUGUAGGAGUGAAAUGCGUAGAGAUCAGGAGGAACAUCAGUGGCGAAGGCGACUAUCUGGCACAUAACUGACGCUGAGGAGCGAAAGCGUGGGUAGCAAACAGGAUUAGAUACCCCUGUAGUC